RNA transcript from Prunus persica (peach), 3214 nucleotides. It is a transcript of the gene named leucine--tRNA ligase, cytoplasmic-like, with no coding region annotated. Lineage: Eukaryota; Viridiplantae; Streptophyta; Magnoliopsida; Rosales; Rosaceae. The transcript is spliced from 4 exons. The record is from RefSeq and is a predicted model, not a curated record.
AUGGCUGCCGAAGAUGGGAAGAUCUUCGUAAAGAGAGACACGCUCAAAAAAAUAGAAACAAAGAUUCAAACUUUUUGGAAAGAACAUGACGUUUAUAGGGCCGAAUCUCGCGAAAAGCCUCCUAAGCCAGGGGCGAAGUUCUUUGGAAACUUCCCGUUCCCCUACAUGAAUGGCUUUUUGCAUCUUGGACAUGCAUUCUCACUCUCAAAGUUAGAGUUUUCUGCACGUUAUCACAAACUAAGAGGUGCAAAUGUGCUCUUCCCUUUCGGUUUCCAUGGAACCGGAAUGCCCAUCAAAGCCUCUGCUGAUAAAAUUGCAUAAGAGAUCCAACAGUUUGGACACCCGCCUGUCUUUCCCAUCAAUGAAGAGGACCAAGUGGACCAAGAAGAAGUUGAAGAUGCAAAUGCAAGUGUACUUCUAGAAACUAAGUUCAAGGGAAAGAAGUCCAAGGCUGCAUCAAAAUCAAUGUGUGGACAAGCGUACCAGUGGGAAAUCAUGCCUAGUCUUGGCCUUUCUGACAGUGAGAUAUUCAAAUUCUGCGAACCAUCUGAGUGGUUGAAUAAAUUAUGGACCUACUAGUUGGGAGCUCAAGAGAGACUUAGGACCCCGUAUUUUGAUAAGUUUGUGAGGUGGCAAUUGCGGAAAUUGAAAGACAAAGAUAAGAUUGUCAAAGCGAAACGUUACACCAUCUACUCUCCAAUGGAUGGGCAACCAUGUGCAGAUCAUGAUAGGGCAAUUGGCAAAUGAGUUCAGCCCCAAGAAUAUACUAUCAUCAAAACGGAGGUGGCGAUACCUUUUCCUUCUAAGUUGGGAGUGUUGGAGGGGAGAAAAGUGCCCAAACACCUUGCUGCAGCAACAUUGAGACCUGAGACCAUGUAUGGACAAACAAAUGCAUGGGUAUUGCCCAAUGGAAGGUAUGGAGCCUUUGAAGUCAAUGAAACAGAUGUAUUUAUUCUUACGCAAAGAGCAGCACGUAAUCUUGCUUAUCAGGGGUUCUUUAGGAUACCUGAGAAACCUUCCUGCUUCAUUGAACUAACUGGUUAAGAUUUGAUUGGCCUUCCAUUGAAGUCACCACUUGCACAUCAUCAGAUUAUUUAUGCCCUUCCUAUGUUAACGAUCGAUGCAGACAAAGGGACUGGGAUUGUGACUAGUGUACCUAGGAUGCUCCUGAUGAUUAUAUGGCCCUGCAUGAUUUAAAAACGAAACCAACUUUUAGAAACAAAUAUGGUGUGAUGGAUGAAUGGGUUAUGCCCUUUGAGAUUGUACCGAUCAUCAAUUUGGAGAUAAGGCUGCGGAGAAGGUCUGUGGGGAUCUCAAGAUCAAAAGCCAGAAUGAGAAAGAGAAGCUAGCAGAAGCCAAGAGGUUAACAUACUUGAAAGGGUUUACAGAAGGAACACUGCUCGUGGGAGAAUUUGCAAGAAGGAGAGUCUAGGAGGCAAAAUCGUGGAUAAGGAGCAAACUAAUGGAGGCAGGAAAUGCAAUCAUUUAUAGAGAAUCGGAGAAGCACGUAGUGUCACGGUCAGGUGAUGAAUGUGUUGUGGCUCAAACAGAGCAAUGGUACAUCUUUUAUGGUGAAGCUGAAUGGAAAACUUUGGCUGAGGAAUGCUUGUCGAGCAUGAACUUGUACUCUGACGUGACACAACAUGGAUUUGAACACACGUUAAGUUGGUUGAAUCAGUGGGCUUGUUCACGAUCGUUUGGGCUUGGAACACGUAUUCCCUGGGAUGAAAAAUACUUGGUUGAGUCGUUGUCUGAUUCAACCCUUUACAUGGCUUAUUACACCAUUGCUCACUUUUUACACGAUGGGGACAUGUAUGGGGAUUCCACCACAUCUGGGGUUAUACCUGAACAAAUGACCGAUGAGGUAUGGGAUUUUAUCUUUUGUGAUGGCCCUUUCCAAAAUCAUCUGACAUAUCAUCAUCAAUUCUGAAUAAGAUGAAGCAGGAGUUCGAAUAUUGGUAUCCAUUUGAUCGUCGAGUGUUUGGUAAGGAUCUCAUCUAGAAUCAUUUUAACAUUUUGCAUUUACAACCACACGACAAUUAUGCUCAAGAAGCAUUGGCCUCGUGGGUAUAGAUGUAAUGGGCACCUCAUGCUCAAUUCUAAGAAGAUGUCCAAGUCCACAGGGAAUUUUUUGACAUUACGGCUGGCAAUAGAGGAAUAUUCUGCUGAUGCCACACGAAUGGCUGCCGAUGCCGGUGAUGGUGUUGAUGAUGCAAAUUUUGUAUUUGACACUGCAAAUGCUGCCAUUGGAUGACUCACUAAAGAGAUUGCAUGGAUGGAGAAGAAUUUGAGUGCAAACUCUUUGAGAAGAUAUUCUCCUUCUACUUUUGCGAACCAUGUCUUUUUGAAUGAAAUAAAUAUCGUUGUGAAAAGGACUGAGCAAAACUACCAGUCUUGCAUGUUCCGAGAAGCCCUUAUCACUAGAGUUUAUGGUCUUCAAGAUGCCAGGGAUUGGUACGAGCUUUCAUGUCGUGCUCAGGACAUGAAUCGAGAUUUGGUGUGGCAUUAUAUGGAUGUAGAGACGCGCAUGGUUGCUCCAAUCUGUCCACACUAUGCUGAAUAUGUGUGGAGGGAGGUUUUGAAGAAGGAUGGAUUUGUAGUAAGCGCAGGCUGGCCUGCAGCUGAUGCUCUAGAUCUAAUCCUCCAAAGUGCCAAUAACUAUUUGAAAAAGUCGAUUGAUGUAAUGAGGAAGAAGCUUAGAAAGCACCAGCCAAAUUCUAAGAAAGCCGGUAAUAAUGGUGCUCCAAUUUCAUCUUUAGUAGAAGGGAAGAAGCUAAUAGGCCUGAUAUAUGUGAAGGAGCAAUUUGAUGAGUGGAAGGCAGAUUGCUUGAGGAUACUUCAGAAUAACUUCAACAUAGAGACUCGUACUUUUGCUUCGGACAGGGUGAUAUUGGAGGCAUUGCAGAGUAGUUCUCUUGGACAGGCUAAAGAUUUUAGACAAAUCCAGAAUCUUUGCAUGCCUUUCGUGAAGUCGAAGAAGAAUGAGGUAGUUCAACUUGGGGCUCAGGCCUUAGAUUUGAAGUUACCAUAUGGAGAGAUUGAGGUACUUAAAGAGAACUUAGACUUGAUUAAGAGUCAACUGGAUCUUGAAGAGGUAGAAGUUUUGUCUGCUGCCAACCCUGAUAAUCGUGCAAAAGUUGGUCCUCAUGUUAAACAAAUAGAGCAGAAUCCUCCAUUCCCUGGAAGCCCAACUACCAUCUUCUUGACCCGGUAA